RNAcentral lists this ribosomal RNA (276 nucleotides) under uncultured bacterium. RNAcentral describes it as "partial 16S ribosomal RNA". The record is from RNAcentral.
CUGCUGCCUUCCGUAGGAGUCUGGUCCGUGUCUCAGUACCGGUGUGGGGGACCUUCCUCUCAGAACCCCUACGCAUCGUCGCCUUGGUGGGCCGUUACCCCGCCAACAAGCUAAUGCGACGCAUGACCAUCCGUAGCCGGAAUCGCUUCCUUUAAACCCACAGAGAUGCCUCCAUGGGUUGUUACGCGGUAUUAGACGGAAUUUCUUCCGCUUAUCCCCCUGCUACGGGCAGGUUUCAUACGUGUUACUCACCCGUGCGCCGGUCGCCGGCGGGAG